UACGUAGGGUGCAAGCGUUAAUCGGAAUUACUGGGCGUAAAGCGUGCGCAGGCGGUUAUGUAAGUCAGAUGUGAAAUCCCCGGGCUCAACCUGGGAAUGGCAUUUGAGACUGCAUGGCUAGAGUGUGUCAGAGGGGGGUAGAAUUCCACGUGUAGCAGUGAAAUGCGUAGAGAUGUGGAGGAAUACCGAUGGCGAAGGCAGCCCCCUGGGAUAACACUGACGCUCAUGCACGAAAGCGUGGGGAGCAAACAGGAUUAGAAACCCUAUAGUCC
Molecule: ribosomal RNA, 272 nt
Filed under: uncultured prokaryote
Description: partial 16S ribosomal RNA
Rfam family: Bacterial small subunit ribosomal RNA
Source: RNAcentral